RNAcentral lists this ribosomal RNA (219 nucleotides) under uncultured Leptotrichia sp. RNAcentral describes it as "partial 16S ribosomal RNA". It matches the Rfam family "Bacterial small subunit ribosomal RNA", at positions 136 to 355 of the family's 1533-position model. The record is from RNAcentral. Lineage: Bacteria; Fusobacteriati; Fusobacteriota; Fusobacteriia; Fusobacteriales; Leptotrichiaceae.
GGGAGUAACAAGAGGGAAACGUUACUGAUAAUAACUGGAUAAGUUAGUAUAUCGCAUGAUAUGCAAAUGAAAGCUACGGCACUAAAGGAGAGCUUUGCGUCCUAUUAGCUAGUUGGUAAGGUAAGAGCUUACCAAGGCGAUGAUAGGUAGCCGGCCUGAGAGGGUGGACGGCCACAAGGGGACUGAGAUACGGCCCUUACUCCUACGGGAGGCAGCAGC